Molecule: ribosomal RNA, 791 nt
Filed under: uncultured Methanomicrobiales archaeon
Lineage: Archaea; Methanobacteriati; Methanobacteriota; Methanomicrobia; Methanomicrobiales
Description: bacterial SSU rRNA
Rfam family: Archaeal small subunit ribosomal RNA
Source: RNAcentral
UACGGCUCAGUAACACGUGGACAACCUACCCUACGGAGGGGGAUAACCCCGGGAAACUGGGGAUAAUACCCCAUAGACUAUGGAUGCUGGAAUGCUCUGUAGCCGAAAGGUCCGCCGCCGUAGGAUGGGUCUGCGGCCGAUUAGGUUGUUGUUGGGGUAACGGCCCAACAAGCCUGUAAUCGGUACGGGUUGUGGGAGCAAGAGCCCGGAGAUGGAUUCUGAGACACGAAUCCAGGCCCUACGGGGCGCAGCAGGCGCGAAAACUUUGCAAUGCGGGAAACCGUGACAAGGGAACUCUGAGUGCCCGUAAAAUCGGGCUGUCCAUCGGUUUAAAUAACCGGUGAAGAAAGGGCCGGGCAAGACCGGUGCCAGCCGCCGCGGUAAUACCGGCGGCUCGAGUGGUGGCCACUAUUACUGGGCUUAAAGCGUUCGUAGCUGGUUUGCUAAGUCUCUGGGGAAAUCUUCCGGCUUAACCGGAAGGCGUCUCAGGGAUACUGGCAGACUAGGGACCGGGAGAGGUGAGAGGUACUCCAGGGGUAGGAGUGAAAUCCUGUAAUCCUUGGGGGACCACCUGUGGCGAAGGCGUCUCACCAGAACGGCUCCGACAGUGAGGGACGAAAGCUGGGGGAGCAAACCGGAUUAGAUACCCGGGUAGUCCCAGCUGUAAACGAUGCGCGUUAGGUGUAUCGGUGACCACGAGUCACCGAGGNNNCGAAGAGAAAUCGUGAAACGUGCCGCCUGGGAAGUACGGUCGCAAGGCUGAAACUUAAAGGAAUUGGCGGGGGAGCGCA